This 433-nucleotide ribosomal RNA is filed under the name uncultured bacterium. Its description in RNAcentral is "partial 16S ribosomal RNA". It matches the Rfam family "Bacterial small subunit ribosomal RNA", at positions 29 to 507 of the family's 1533-position model. The record is from RNAcentral.
AACGAACGCUGGCGGCAUGCCUAACACAUGCAAGUCGAACGAGACCUUCGGGUCUAGUGGCGCACGGGUGCGUAACGCGUGGGAACCUGCCCUUAGGUUCGGAAUAACUCCCCGAAAGGGGUGCUAAUACCGGAUAAUGUCUUCGGACCAAAGAUUUAUCGCCUUUGGAUGGGCCCGCGUUGGAUUAGCUAGUUGGUAGGGUAAAAGCCUACCAAGGCGACGAUCCAUAGCUGGUCUGAGAGGAUGAUCAGCCACACUGGGGCUGAGACACGGCCCAGACUCCGACGGGAAGCAGCAGUAGGGAAUAUUGGACGAUGGGCGAAAGCCUGAUCCAGCAAUGCCGCGUGAGUGAUGAAGGCCUUAGGGUUGUAAAGCUCUUUUACCCGGGAUGAUAAUGACAGUACCGGGAGAAUAAGCGCCGGCUAACUCCGUG